GGCCCUGUGGUCAAGCGGUUAAGACACCGCCCUUUCACGGCGGUAACAGGGGUUCGAGUCCCCUCAGGGUCACCA
RNAcentral lists this transfer RNA (75 nucleotides) under Thermoanaerobacteraceae bacterium. RNAcentral's name for it is "tRNA-Glu". It matches the Rfam family "tRNA". From Rfam's summary of the family: Transfer RNA (tRNA) molecules are approximately 80 nucleotides in length. Their secondary structure includes four short double-helical elements and three loops (D, anti-codon, and T loops). The record is from RNAcentral. Lineage: Bacteria; Bacillati; Bacillota; Clostridia; Thermoanaerobacterales; Thermoanaerobacteraceae. RNAcentral also lists the same sequence under 2 other names.